GGGCUCGUUAGCCGCUCCGCGGGCUCGCGCUUCUGCCGGACGGCGAGAGCCCACCUGAAGCGCCCGUUCGUACCCGUCAAGGCUUUCCCUGAGCGCGUCCCCGCUCCGCUUUCCUACCAGGCUGCGAUCUAAGAAAACCACUCGCGCUGCGCUUGGCCGGCUGCCAUCCCGGCCCCGCUGGCAUUCCCGCGGCGGACGAAGCGCCCCGGGCCGUGCAGCCGGGACGGCGGUGCUCGCCGUGCUCCCCGCUCGGCGCCCAGGGCAAGUCCCGUUCGGGUUUAAGCCUCCACCGCGCACGGGCUGCAGCUCUGCAUAGGACGGAGAUUUUUUUCUUGGUCUUGCACUGAAAUGCCCAUGUUUUAAACAGAAAAGGGGCACGGUCCCAAUCCAUGCCCAGCACCGCGUCCGUGGGGUGGUAGCAGGAACUGAUACAGGGUCCUCGGGUGCGGAAGUUCCUGUUUUUCAUCUAUUUCAUCUGUCUUAUUCAUCAGGUACCAGACGGAAACAUCGGAGGUGCAAGCUGAGGCAUUUUGAGGGACUGCUGGGGGCUUUGGAGCCUCUGCUUUUGACCCAGCAGGAUUCGGCAAUUCAGGCUCAGAUCCGGAAAGGUCUUGGAGUUUCCAUCUCCCACGGACACACUUCCCGUCCCCCCACGGCUCACCUCCGGCCGGGGAGAGGGCUAGCGCUGAGGCCCCUCUGCCCCCUCGUAAGGGCUUGGAGAGCUCCUGCGGCCUCGCAUCCCGGCCAGCUCCGCGCACGGCAUUGCUCUGCUCUUGUUUUCGCCAAAAUUGAUGCUUUGGGCUCCUGCUACCUGGGCUGAGCAGCGAGGGCUGCGGCGGCCGUCGGAGAGGUUUCCAGCAGGGCCCCGGCCGUGACCCUGGCGGAAGGUAGAGCCGUCCGAGCAAGUUGACGCGAGGUCCAGCUGAGCCCACAUCCAUCCCCACACCGUGUGCACGUGGCAACGUCUCCAGAAUGUCUCCUUUACCGCAUCCCAUUGGCACCGUAAACCUCCGACGGCAGCUUGCGGUGUCGCAGGUCGCUUGGGGACCCUGUCUGCAGACCCUUGCCUUGUCGUCACCUUACGCACCGGUCCCUGGCAAGGAAGCUGGGGUCUCUCUUGCAGCCAUCACCUCCUCGUGGCUCUUCUCUUGCGGAUGCUGUGCACGUCUGGUUCUGACAGCGCGGAGUACAGCACACGUUACCCCCGGAGAGCGGAGCGUUGAAGGAUGUGGCACAGGAGGGUGAAAUACAGGCGGACGUUUCUAGUGAUUGUUCAGCGCUUUUCCUCUGUGCGCUUCUAGAGCGGACCGCAGCCCGAGAAAGGAUGUCAAGACAGGAAGGAUAUCGAGUUGGCUUCGGUUCUGUGAUACAAAUAGCUUAAAUGACCUUUCUCUAGCAAAACACCAACUAUCACUGCAUGGAUUUAUUCUAAAGGGUUGUCAGCUGCGGAAGAGUGCAGCCAUCUCGCAAAUAGGAAAUUCAAAGACAGAUAGAUGAACAGAUAGGUAGAUAGACGGAUGCGUGUGCGGUAGGUAGAGAAACAGAGACGGACAGACAAAUGCAGCCUUCGCACAACCUUAUUUUAAGGUCCCUGGUUUGUAAUCCUGUGGGUUCUGAUGCCUCUGGAAGGGGACUUCAUGUAUCUUCCCACCGCUCCUGAGUGUGGCAGUAUUUGCACAGUGUUAAUCUCUCAGGCCUGAUCCUGUACUCCUUCCCCUCAAACAUGGUUCCCAUCCAGAUGGGGAAACUGAGGCACAGAGCAGCAAAGUAGCUUUCUGAGGGCCACAGAAGAUGCGAGAAGCAAUGCAAGGAAUGGCAGACCCAAGGAUGGAGCCCCAAUCCUCCAUCCCCUCUUCUAACCGUUGCCCCUCGCCGGGGUGCCCAGGAUGUGAUCCCUCUCUCACUUCUAAGAAGAUGUUGCCUCCUUUAAAGGGCAGCGAAUACCCACCUACAGCAUUUUGUAUGCGUGCAUGAGUCAUGCAGGAAGAGCCGAUAGGCGCGAGGUGGGAGCUGGGCACUUUCCAGGAAAAGCUGGGCUGAAACCGCAGAAGCCGUUUCCUCCCAGACGAGAGCCAUCCUACCCCACCAGCAACCGCUGCUUUGCGUGUGCCGAUCCCUCCGGAGGCUGAGAUUUGCUUCCAUGCCUCUGCACCCCAGAGCUGCCCCACAUCCACCCCCGGACUGCUCCCAACCGCGGGGCCUGGCAUUAGGAAGACCAUGAAGGCCUGGGACCAUCGCUGCUUCAUUGCUCUUUCUGCUUCUACUACGUCUCUUGUGGCUGCUUCUGAGCACGCUGCUCAGGGGCUCAUAGCUGAAAGAGGUAAAGAUCGGUGGGUACUUGUCUUUCCCGUGGGACAUAACAUGUGGCCUAUGAAAGCCUUGAUUUUUUCCCACCUUCCUAACACUUUGCACCAGCAGCAGUUACACCAGGGAUGUAAUUCCAUCUUCACCUGUCCAAACCUGGGCCUCCGCAGCUCCGCUGGAGAAACUACCCCGUCACCUCGUUAGCAGUAACAGGCUCGGAGGCCGUCAGUCUCUGCACAGCCGCCCUAAGCUGUUCUGCCAGGUUUAACUCAAAGCAGGCUGCCAUGCCCUGAGCAAAAUCCCUCCUGCACCGCGGGAGGGACCGGGGUUCGCACAGCGUGGAGCAGCCCAGCUGCUGCUCUCCUGCCUGUUGCCGUGUGGCUGCGGCUAUAGAGGUGCAAACGCUGACUUGGGUGGUUCACCCAAUUCCUCGUAUCCAGGAGAGGUGAAAGGAAGGAAAUCAGGGAGCUGCAGAGCGGUUGAGGUUGGAAGAGACCUAUGGAGACCAGCUAGACCAACAAGCACCCCAGCUCCUGGGACACGGUUACGUUGCAGUUCUUUCCCUAGGUGGGACCAUACCUACGGGCUCAACCAGACAGCAAUAGAAAUCAGCCCAAGAAAUAACUAUGUUAAUCUAAGCUUGGCUACUGAUAGGUAGCAAAGAUUGUCUGAAAUGUUCUGAAAAUGUCAAAACCCCAGGAAUGUUUCUUCGCUGCGUCUCCUCAGCCCAGCCCUGCUUUCGCUGUGAGAUCAUCCUCGCUCACAGGCCCACAAACACCAAUCAUGUGCGCUCUAUAAACAUCUAAUGGAAGAGACACUUUUAAUGUAAUUAUAAUUUAAGCAUAAAAUAUGUCACUUCUGUAGGAUUUUGUUGUCUGGUGCGUAAUUACUUUAUGGCCCUAUAAAAAUAUAUUACAUUAUGAUGCCUUGCUGUGCUCUGCUCAGAUAAUUUAUUGCACAGUAAUAGUGUGGAACAAUAUUCAAGAUCAUUGUAUCCAGUCUAGCAUACAAAUAAAAAUUGUG
Molecule: long non-coding RNA, 3327 nt
Organism: Dromaius novaehollandiae (emu)
Lineage: Eukaryota; Metazoa; Chordata; Aves; Casuariiformes; Dromaiidae
Exons: 3
Source: RefSeq, a predicted model, not a curated record